Molecule: long non-coding RNA, 2359 nt
Filed under: Homo sapiens (human)
Lineage: Eukaryota; Metazoa; Chordata; Mammalia; Primates; Hominidae
Description: HSALNT0298938
Source: RNAcentral
UUGGUCUCUGGCACAAUCACAAGGCUCCUAAAACCCUUGUCAUUUCCUGAGCCACAGGGGUUUUAGGAGCAUCUUUCAUUCUAGUGUUUGGUCUUUGACCCCGGUUCCCAACAAACAGCUCCUACUCCCUUGGAAUUUAUUGGGUGAUGGGAGUGUCUUGUUCUAAUGAAGCAACUCUAAUGGGCUCCUGGACGGGGCUGGUCACCAGAAAGACCAGGUUAUGCUGAGAAGCUUGAAACCGUCAGUCCCCCGCCACCCCAUCCUCUGGGAAGGGAAGAGGAGCUGGAGAUCAUGCCCAUGUGAUGAGGCCUCCGUCAAAGUCCUUGCACUCCGGGAUGUGGCUGCCGGACAUGCGGAGGCGCUGGGAGAGCGGCACACCUGGAGAGGGCGUGGAAGCUCCAACACCCCACCUCCACACCGCGUGCUAUGCAUCUCUCCCGUCCAGCUGCUCCUGGGUUUCAGUCUUUCCUAAUGAACAGACGGAGCUUCCCUAUGUUGUCCAGCCUGGUCUUGAACUCCUGGCCUCAAGCAAUCCUCCUGCCUUGGCUUCCUAAAGUGCUGAAAUUACAGCAGAGGCGCUGACACAGAAAGGAGUGACCUCUCCAACCUUCCAUAAAUCAUCAGAACACUGCAGAGUGACAGUGGGAACUCCAGAGAUUAAACACGGAGGUGAGGCUGGCCAGGGAUCACAAGAGGCCCAACACCCAGACAGUACGGAACCUGGGUGGGCACCUCGUCCGUUUUGUCAUCCACAGACCAGAGGCUUCUGCACUUCUGAUGACUCCAUCCAGAUCUCCAGCUUGUCCUGUGGACCCAUCCAUGCAGAAGCAGACUCGGCAGGCACAAGGACCAUUUUCCACACCCCUAUGAUUGCACCUCAUCCAAUCAGCAGCACCCACUCCCUAGUCCCCAGCUCCCUCCAGAUUAUCCUUGAAAAACCCUAGCCUCUGAAUUUUGGGGGAGAUUGACUUAAGUAAUAAAAUUCCAGUCUCCCACUUAGCCAGCUCUGUGUGAACUAAACUCUUUCUCUAUUGCAAUUCCCAUCUUGGUAAGUCAGCUCCAUCUGGGCAGCGGGCAAGGUGAAUCCAGUGGGCGGUCACAGUGACGCCUUUGCUUUCUGAUGGUUUAAUGUACACAAACUUUGUUUCAUGCAGAAAAUUAUGAAAAGUAUUGUAUUAAAUUAACUUCAGGCUAUGUGUAUAAGGUCUAUAUAAAACAAACAAAUUUUGUACUUUGACUUAGGUCCCAGCCCCAAGAUAUCUCAUUAGGUAGUACAUAUAAAUAUUCCAUAUCCUGAAAAAGUCAAAAAUCCAAAAUAUUUCUUGUCUCAAGCAUUUUGGAUAAAAGAUAUUCAACCUGUAUAGGAGAUUAAGAGAAACUGCAGCUGGAAAGAGACCUCAGAAAUACAGUGAUAUAAUUCCACUUCUUUAUCUUUCAGAUGAGUCAACUGAGGUAAAGAGCAACCUGGCUGAAGGUCAACAGCAGGGCUUUUUAAUCAGAUCCAUGCUGCCCCAAAAUAAUGAAACCCUGGAUCAGCUUCUUUUCCAAAUCUUGAGAAUACAGGCUCCUGGGCUGUGAAAUACAAUUUGAAAAUGUUUCUCUUCUAACAAAGAGUGCAAUGUCUUGAGUACUUUAACAUACUGUUUUCUGAAAUCUCACUGUUUGCUGGUAGGUAUCAAUGGCUUUGGUGUGGGGCGUCUGAUAUGUCUAUAUAAAGAAUCUCAUGCUGCCCCAGGAAAAAGCACAUAUAUCCAUAUUUUUGUUUGAUUUUGUAAAGCUUAUUGUACAAGAUCACAUUUUUGUUUUAAUAAAGAACAAAAAUGAAGUUUCAACAUUUGUGAAGAAACAUAGUUUUUGAGAGAAGAUAAUUUGGUCAGAAGCAUUACUUGUUAUUUUGCCUUCUAUUAAAGUUUUCUCAGAAAUCAGAUUCCCUAUGUGAAAAAUCUGACUUCUGUAUAAUAGGUGUAUUGUAUAAUCUGUACUUUUAAGAAGUUUAAAAAUGGCCAGGCACGGUGGCUCACGUCUAUAAUCCCAGCACUUUGGGAGGCUGAGGCGGGUGGAUCACUUGAGGUCAGGAGUUCAAGACCAGUUUGGCCAACAUGGAGAAAUGUACUACUAAAAAUACAAAAUCAGCUGGGUGUGGUGGCGCAUGCCUGUAAUCCCUGCUACUCAGGAGGCUGAGGCAGGGGAGUCGCUUGAAUCCGGGAGGUGGAGGUUGUGGUGAGCUGAGAUCACGCCAUUGCACUCCAGUGUGGGCAACGAGAUCGAAACUCCGUCUCAAAAAAGAAAAAAAACCAAAAAGUUUAAAAAUGGCUGGGCACGGUGGCUCACGCCUGUAAUCCCAGCACUUUGGGAGGCC